CUACGGGACGCACCAGUGAGGAAUAUUGCACAAUGGGGGGAACCCUGAUGCAGCAACGCCGCGUGGAGGAUGACGCAUUUCGGUGUGUAAACUCCUUUUAUAUGUCAAGAAAAUGACGGUAGCAUAUGAAUAAGCACCGGCUAACUCCGUGCCAGCAGCCGCGGUAAUACGGAGGGUGCAAGCGUUACUCGGAAUCACUGGGCGUAAAGGACGCGUAGGCGGGCUUGUAAGUCAGGUGUGAAAUCCUACAGCUUAACUGUAGAACUGCACUUGAAACUACGAGCCUAGAGUAUGGGAGGGGCAGAUGGAAUUAGUGGUGUAGGGGUAAAAUCCGUAGAUAUCACUAGGAAUACCUAAAGCGAAGGCGAUCUGCUGGAACAUAACUGACGCUAAGGCGUGAAAGCGUGGGGAGCAAACAGGAUUAGAUACCCCCGUAGUC
This 439-nucleotide ribosomal RNA is filed under the name uncultured bacterium. RNAcentral describes it as "partial 16S ribosomal RNA". It matches the Rfam family "Bacterial small subunit ribosomal RNA", at positions 339 to 795 of the family's 1533-position model. The record is from RNAcentral.